CGUAGGUGGCCUGCUAAGUCGAACGUGAAAUCCCCGGGCUCAACCCGGGAACUGCGUCCGAGACUGGUAGGCUUGAAUCCGGGAGAGGGACGUGGAAUUCCAGGUGUAGCGGUGAAAUGCGUAGAUAUCUGGAGGAACACCGGUGGCGAAGGCGGCAUCCUGGACCGGUAUUGACACUGAGGCGCGAAAGCCAGGGGAGCAAACG
RNAcentral lists this ribosomal RNA (205 nucleotides) under uncultured bacterium. RNAcentral's name for it is "partial 16S ribosomal RNA". It matches the Rfam family "Bacterial small subunit ribosomal RNA", at positions 570 to 774 of the family's 1533-position model. The record is from RNAcentral.